Long non-coding RNA from Cydia fagiglandana, 1077 nucleotides. RefSeq lists it as uncharacterized. The transcript is spliced from 2 exons. The record is from RefSeq and is a predicted model, not a curated record. Lineage: Eukaryota; Metazoa; Arthropoda; Insecta; Lepidoptera; Tortricidae.
GGUAGGGUAGACCGGGGACAAUUGAAACACGUUAUGAUUGAAACAAGUCAAAUUUCUCGAUAACUAUAAUACCUACGCGUCUGACGCAAUACUCGGAACACGCGGUCGGCCAUGUUUGAAUCCUCGGCCAGUAGCGCUCAAGCGCCGGUGCGAGACGGGAGUGUCCACGAGCCAAGCCAGUUUUUCGCGGUAAAAAAUGCCCCGAAAACGGAAACAUCUCACGGAGCGAACCUCAAAAAGCCUGUUUGCCUAUCAACAGGCUUAUGAGGAAGUAAUCUCGGGGAAGUCCUUAAGAAAAGCGGCCCAAAUGUUUGAUUUAGAUCAUGUCUCGCUGGCAAGAUACAAAAAAAAAAGAGAAGCAGCAUCAGAUAUACCUAUAGAAGAUAUAAAAAUGGGUUAUAAUUCUGCAAAAAAAGUGGCCACCUCCUUUCUAAUAAUAAUAAAACAAUUUAAACUGAUAUUUUAUUGCGCCUAUUAUUUCAUUUUACAUUCCGACGUCUGCACACUCAUCACAGGGUGUGUGGGAAAGGUUAUGAUUGAAACAUUGUUAUAGUUGAAACAAGCAUUUUUGUAUGGAACAUAAUUGUGCUUGUUUUUUGCGAUUCCUUAUCGUUAUAUCUUAGAAUUUCAUUAAAAUUACUUUGGUUAAGGUAAACGCAUAAGGUGGCAGCGAAAAAGAAAAUUAAAAGUCGUAUAAGUACUAUUUUUUCCCCAAGUUUUAUUAUAGAGAUGUUCAGAUGCUCAUAAAUUGAAAUAUGUUUAUGUUAUGCUUGCAAACUUUUAAUGAGCUCAUUGUAUGCUGAGGUAGUGAUGAAAAAGAUUGAAAGGGAUAUAAGUACUUUAAUUGUGCCGAAGAUAUUUGAGUGUUUCAAUUAACCUCACGUAGUGUUUCAAUUGACAGUCAUGUGAGGUCAAUUGAACCAUACUGCCCCAUUAUCUUUAUUACAUUAUUUAAAAAAAACUAUGGACUAUAGACCGUUCAAAUACAUUUUAUUUAGGAACCAGAUAACUAACCUUGAAAUAUUUCGAGCGUACAUCUUUCUACUCAUAAAAAUAUAACGAUCACAGGCGGUUAAA